Molecule: unclassified non-coding RNA, 262 nt
Filed under: plant metagenome
Description: partial contains small subunit ribosomal RNA, internal transcribed spacer 1, and 5.8S ribosomal RNA
Source: RNAcentral
UCUCCGUUGGUGAACCAGCGGAGGGAUCAUUGCCGAGUUUACAACUCCCAAACCCCUAUGUGAACGUUACCAAACUGUUGCCUCGGCGGGAAAUUCAUGCCCCGGGCGCGUCGCGGCCCCGGACCAAGGCGCCCGCCGGAGGACCAACCAAAACUCUUUUGUAUGUCCCUCGCGGACUUUUAUAAUUCUGAACCAUCUCGGCGCCCCUAGCGGGCGUUUCGAAAAUGAAUCAAAACUUUCAACAACGGAUCUCUUGGUUCUG